This is a non-coding RNA of Oryctolagus cuniculus (rabbit), 47 nucleotides long. NCBI's taxonomy places the organism in Eukaryota, Metazoa, Chordata, Mammalia, Lagomorpha, Leporidae. The record is from Rfam.
AAAUAGGCCUUUCUAAAGGCCACAUAACCUUCAAUUUAUGCAAAAGU